GUGCUCGCUUCAGCAGAACAUACACUAAAAUUGGAAUGAUACAGAGAAGAUUAGCAUGGCCCCUGUGCAAGGAUGACAUGCAAAUUAAUGAAACGUUCCAUAUUUAU
This is a small nuclear RNA of Saimiri boliviensis boliviensis (Bolivian squirrel monkey), 107 nucleotides long. The record is from Ensembl. Lineage: Eukaryota; Metazoa; Chordata; Mammalia; Primates; Cebidae.